CAGGUCUCGGCUGGCCCCGGAGCCAGGGGGACGCGGCGGGCGGGUCGUGCGUGCCAAGCGCGACAUGGCGCGGAAGCCGAGAAGCCCCGGAGGCCCAGUGAGCACGGGGAGGGGCUAGACGCUAGCUGGACAACCAUUAGCAGGCUGGGGCCGGGCGGCUCGGGGACUACAUUUCCCAGGACACCAAGCGCUCGCGCCCGGAAGCGACGCGCCUUGGGCUCAGUGCGCAGGCGCCGCCAUAGUCUAUAUAAGGCAGGUUCGCGGCUACUUUCGCCCUUUGGUUCCUGCGACUCCAUGAGCGCGUGCUCUGUUUCCGAAAUGUCUCGUCCCUGCGGGGUUAACGCGCAGAUGGUUGGCCUGAUCAAGCAGGACAGAAUGGAGGUUGGAGGGAGAGAAGAGCAUCGAGGGAGAUGAGGAUUCACCUACCAUCUUAAGUCUGAAGGUUUGCUGACAGCCAAAGCCUGGCUUUGAAUGGAGCAUGAACUCCGGAGGGGAGAGCAUUGGCCUGAGGGAGCUGAGGACGCCGGUGUUGGUCUGAUCUUGGUUUCAGGUACUUUUGGAAUACAGAAUACCAGCUGUUCUGCUGCCCAGCGCCACAAGGCUAUGCAGAAUGCAGAGUUACUGUUUGGCUGGGGAGUGGUGGUAUUGUGUGCACUACUGCUGGAAAUAAUAGGAAAUAUUGGCCGUCUAUCUGUAGAAAUAAAAGUCUGAUUGAUGAUUUCAUUUA
Molecule: long non-coding RNA, 727 nt
Organism: Mus pahari (shrew mouse)
Lineage: Eukaryota; Metazoa; Chordata; Mammalia; Rodentia; Muridae
Exons: 5
Source: RefSeq, a predicted model, not a curated record